This 155-nucleotide small nucleolar RNA is filed under the name Medicago truncatula (barrel medic). RNAcentral's name for it is "small nucleolar RNA snoR143". It matches the Rfam family "small nucleolar RNA snoR143". Lineage: Eukaryota; Viridiplantae; Streptophyta; Magnoliopsida; Fabales; Fabaceae. The record is from Rfam by way of RNAcentral.
UUUCUGAUUAAUAUGUUUUCCUUCACAAAGAAGGAUCUCUGUUUUCAGAAAUAUGGUAGAUUUGUGUAAUUGGGCAGCGGCCAGACAACCGUAGAGAUGGAAUCCACAGAUGCUGAGUUUUUGUCUCACCAUUCUACUAAUUCCAUCUCACAUUU